Molecule: non-coding RNA, 249 nt
Filed under: Desulforamulus ruminis
Lineage: Bacteria; Bacillati; Bacillota; Clostridia; Eubacteriales; Peptococcaceae
Description: Desulfotomaculum ruminis T-box sequence
Rfam family: T-box leader
About the family: Uncharged tRNA acts as the effector for transcription antitermination of genes in the T-box leader family. T-boxes are found upstream of many aminoacyl-tRNA synthetase genes and some amino acid biosynthetic genes usually in Gram-positive bacteria.
Source: RNAcentral
GCAAAGGCUAUGAUGGGGAUGAGUAGGCGGAAGAACCUUUUAGAGAGCGGGGAACAGGUGCAAGCCCUGCAGGGAGGACCGUUCGAACAUGGCUCCGGAGCCGCCGGUUCGAAGCAAGGGAAGGCUUGCUGUAGGGCCGGACGGUAGGGCACCGUUACGCGCUUUUAAGUGUUUUACACUUGCUGAGGCCGUUUACUGCAAAGGAACGGCAAAUCAGGGUGGUACCGCGGGAUUUACCCCGCCCCUGCC